UACGGAGGAUCCAAGCGUUAUCCGGAAUCAUUGGGCUUAAAGGGUCCGUAGGCGGUUUAAUAAGUCAGCGGUGAAAGCCCAUCGCUCAACGGUGGAACGGCCAUUGAUACUGUUAAACUUGAAUUAUUAGGAAGUAACUAGAAUAUGUAGUGUAGCGGUGAAAUGCUUAGAGAUUACAUGGAAUACCAAUUGCGAAGGCAGGUUACUGGUAAUGGAUUGACGCUGAUGGACGAAAGCGUGGGUAGCGAACAGG
RNAcentral lists this ribosomal RNA (253 nucleotides) under uncultured bacterium. Its description in RNAcentral is "partial 16S ribosomal RNA". It matches the Rfam family "Bacterial small subunit ribosomal RNA", at positions 524 to 776 of the family's 1533-position model. The record is from RNAcentral.